UGCCCAGCAACUCCUAUCCCUACCUCCUCGCGGUACUGGCCGGGGUACGAGUAACCUUAGGGAAGAUCGGGUAACCAACCCCCGGUGGGAACUUUGGUCGUAUGCUGACAGGGAGGG
Molecule: non-coding RNA, 117 nt
Organism: Aedes aegypti (yellow fever mosquito)
Lineage: Eukaryota; Metazoa; Arthropoda; Insecta; Diptera; Culicidae
Source: Rfam